ACUUUCAACAACGGNUCUCUUGGCUCUGGCAUCGAUGAAGAACGCAGCGAAAUGCGAUAAGUAAUGUGAAUUGCAGAAUUCAGUGAAUCAUCGAAUCUUUGAACGCACAUUGCGCCCGCCAGUAUUCUGGCGGGCAUGCCUGUUCGAGCGUCAUUACA
Molecule: ribosomal RNA, 158 nt
Filed under: Fusarium solani
Lineage: Eukaryota; Fungi; Ascomycota; Sordariomycetes; Hypocreales; Nectriaceae
Description: 5.8S ribosomal RNA
Rfam family: 5.8S ribosomal RNA
About the family: 5.8S ribosomal RNA (5.8S rRNA) is a component of the large subunit of the eukaryotic ribosome. It is transcribed by RNA polymerase I as part of the 45S precursor that also contains 18S and 28S rRNA.
Source: RNAcentral